Molecule: ribosomal RNA, 252 nt
Filed under: uncultured bacterium
Lineage: Bacteria
Description: partial 16S ribosomal RNA
Rfam family: Bacterial small subunit ribosomal RNA
Source: RNAcentral
UACGGAGGAUGCGAGCGUUAUCCGGAUUUAUUGGGUUUAAAGGGUGCGUAGGCGGAUCGUUAAGUCAGUGGUCAAAUUGAGGGGCUCAACCCCUUCCCGCCAUUGAAACUGGCGAUCUUGAGUGGAAGAGAAGUAUGCGGAAUGCGUGGUGUAGCGGUGAAAUGCGUAGAUAUUAGGAGGAACACCAGUGGCGAAGGCGGCUUUCUGGACUGAAACUGACGCUGAGGCUCGAAAGCGUGGGGAGCGAACAGG